GCAGCAGGCGCGCAAAUUACCCACUCUCGGCUCGAGGAGGUAGUGACGAGAAAUAACGAGACUGUUCUCUUUGAGGCCGGUCAUCGGAAUGGGUACAAUUUAAACCCUUUAACGAGUAUCAAGCAGAGGGCAAGUCUGGUGCCAGCAGCCGCGGUAAUUCCAGCUCUGCAAAUACAUAGAAUUAUUGCUGCGGUUAGAAAGCUCAUAGUUGGAUUCGUAUCGAUACCUUGGAACCCUUCGGGUGUCUCUAGGUGUUAUCGAUUUAUCGUAAUGUUCGGUUUUGAGUCCUUAACAGGAUUCUUAACAGGCAUUGCAAGUUUACUUUGAACAAAUCAGAGUGCUUCAAACAGGCGUUUUCGCUUGAAUGAUCGUGCAUGGAAUAAUAGAAAAUGAUUUCGGUUCAGUUUUAUUGGUUUUACGGACUGAGAUAAUGGUUAACAGAGACAAACGGGGGCAUUUGUAUGGUCCCGUGAGAGGUGAAAUUCUUGGACCGUGGCCAGACAAACUACAGCGAAAGCAUUUGCCAAGAAUGUUUUUAUUAAUCAAGAACGAAAGUCAGAGGUUCGAAGGCGAUCAGAUACCGCCCUAGUUCUGACCGUAAACGAUGCCAACUAGCGAUCCGCCGAUGGAAAUUAUAUUGCCUUGGUGGGGAGCUUCCCGGAAACGAAAGUCUUCCGGUUCCGGGGGAAGUAUGGUUGCAAAGCUGAAACUUAAAGGAAUUGACGGAAGGGCACCACCAGGAGUGGAGCCUGCGGCUUAAUUUGACUCAACACGGGGAAACUCACCCGGCCCGGACACUGUGAGGAUUGACAGAUUGAUAGCUUUUUCAUGAUUCAGUGGAUGGUGGUGCAUGGCCGUUCUUAGUUCGUGGAGUGAUUUGUCUGGUUUAUUCCGAUAACGAGCGAGACUCUAACCUACUAAAUAGUUGGUACAUACUCUUAGUGUAUACAGCUUCUUAGAGGGAUUUGCGGCGUUCAGCCGAAAGAA
This 987-nucleotide ribosomal RNA is filed under the name Meloidogyne incognita (southern root-knot nematode). RNAcentral's name for it is "SSU rRNA". It matches the Rfam family "Eukaryotic small subunit ribosomal RNA", at positions 425 to 1442 of the family's 1831-position model. Lineage: Eukaryota; Metazoa; Nematoda; Chromadorea; Rhabditida; Meloidogynidae. The record is from RNAcentral.